GUCCCAGCUCUCCCGAUGCCAUAUCUUUAGGUCUAGUGUUUUUCCACCACAGGAAAGGAGAGAUUGGCAGAUGGAGGAGUGAAUGAGGUCAGGGUGUCGACUGUGUUUCACUGAGCUGUGCCAUGGCCAUCUCACCCCCACAAUGGAGGGGUCUAAGAGGGGGAGAAACAUAUACCCGUUUCCUGGAAGUCUCUGGUAAUGCGGCUGAGGUGAGGGUAUUUUUAAUGACUCUCCAUUUUUAGAAGGGUGUUUGUGAGUGGAGCUGAUUUUCAGAAGUCCUGGGUGUCACUUCCACGCCGACAGCGAGAGCUCUUUGUUGGACGAUUGUACUCGUGAUAUAAAGAUGCCCAAAAGAUUUCUGAGAGCAAAAUCAAAUCAGGUUUAAGAUGUCGUUUUCACUCGAAUAAACAAUGCUGUGCGAUCAGACACGA
This is a long non-coding RNA of Electrophorus electricus (electric eel), 431 nucleotides long. RefSeq lists it as uncharacterized. The record is from RefSeq and is a predicted model, not a curated record. NCBI's taxonomy places the organism in Eukaryota, Metazoa, Chordata, Actinopteri, Gymnotiformes, Gymnotidae.